This 394-nucleotide ribosomal RNA is filed under the name uncultured bacterium. Its description in RNAcentral is "bacterial SSU rRNA". It matches the Rfam family "Bacterial small subunit ribosomal RNA", at positions 30 to 424 of the family's 1533-position model. The record is from RNAcentral.
AUUGAACGCUGGCGGCAUGCCUUACACAUGCAAGUCGAACGGCAGCACGGGAGCUUGCUCCUGGUGGCGAGUGGCGAACGGGUGAGUAAUACAUCGGAACGUACCCUGAAGUGGGGGAUAACGUAGCGAAAGUUACGCUAAUACCGCAUAUUCUGUGAGCAGGAAAGAGGGGGAUCGCAAGACCUCUUGCUUUAGGAGCGGCCGAUGUCGGAUUAGCUAGUUGGUGAGGUAAAGGCUCACCAAGGCGACGAUCCGUAGCGGGUCUGAGAGGAUGAUCCGCCACACUGGGACUGAGACACGGCCCAGACUCCUACGGGAAGCAGCAGUGGGGAAUUUUGGACAAUGGGCGCAAGCCUGAUCCAGCCAUGCCGCGUGAGUGAAGAAGGCCUCGGUU